This 1083-nucleotide ribosomal RNA is filed under the name Ophiocordyceps myrmecophila. Its description in RNAcentral is "SSU rRNA". It matches the Rfam family "Eukaryotic small subunit ribosomal RNA", at positions 77 to 1180 of the family's 1831-position model. Lineage: Eukaryota; Fungi; Ascomycota; Sordariomycetes; Hypocreales; Ophiocordycipitaceae. The record is from RNAcentral.
UACAGCGAACUGCGAAUGGCUCAUUAUAUAAGUUAUCGUUUAUUUGAUAGUGCCUUACUACUUGGAUAACCGUGGUAAUUCUAGAGCUAAUACAUGCUAAAACGCCCGACUUCGGAAGGGUUGUAUUUAUUAGAUUAAAAACCAAUGCCCUCUGGGCUCACUGGUGAUUCAUAAUAACUUCGCGAAUCGCAUGGCCUUGUGCCGGCGAUGGCUCAUUCAAAUUUCUUCCCUAUCAACUUUCGAUGUUUGGGUAGUGGCCAAACAUGGUUGCAACGGGUAACGGAGGGUUAGGGCUCGACCCCGGAGAAGGAGCCUGAGAAACGGCUACUACAUCCAAGGAAGGCAGCAGGCGCGCAAAUUACCCAAUCCCGAUUCGGGGAGGUAGUGACAAUAAAUACUGAUACAGGGCUCUUUUGGGUCUUGUAAUUGGAAUGAGUACAAUUUAAAUCCCUUAACGAGGAACAAUUAGAGGGCAAGUCUGGUGCCAGCAGCCGCGGUAAUUCCAGCUCUAAUAGCGUAUAUUAAAGUUGUUGUGGUUAAAAAGCUCGUAGUUGAACCUUGGGCCUGGCUGGCAGGUCCGCCUCACCGCGUGUACUUUGCCGGCCGGGCCUUUCCCUCUGUGGAACCCCAUGCCCUUCACUGGGUGUGGCGGGGAAACAGGACUUUUACUUUGAAAAAAUUAGAGUGCUCCAGGCAGGCCUAUGCUCGAAUACAUUAGCAUGGAAUAAUAAAAUAGGACGUGCGGUUCUAUUUUGUUGGUUUCUAGGACCGCCGUAAUGAUUAAUAGGGACAGUCGGGGGCAUCAGUAUUCAAUUGUCAGAGGUGAAAUUCUUGGAUUUAUUGAAGACUAACUACUGCGAAAGCAUUUGCCAAGGAUGUUUUCAUUAAUCAGGAACGAAAGUUAGGGGAUCGAAGACGAUCAGAUACCGUCGUAGUCUUAACCAUAACUAUGCCGACUAGGGAUCGGACGAUGUUAUUACUUGACUCGUCGGCACCUUACGAGAAAUCAAGUGCUUGGGCUCCAGGGGGAGUAUGGUCGCAGGGCUGAAACUUAGAAAUGAACGAGGGCACCACCCAGGUGGA